RNAcentral lists this ribosomal RNA (328 nucleotides) under uncultured Acidaminococcus sp. Its description in RNAcentral is "bacterial SSU rRNA". It matches the Rfam family "Bacterial small subunit ribosomal RNA", at positions 355 to 677 of the family's 1533-position model. The record is from RNAcentral. Lineage: Bacteria; Bacillati; Bacillota; Negativicutes; Acidaminococcales; Acidaminococcaceae.
UGGGGAAUCUUCCGCAAUGGGACGAAAGUCUGACGGAGCAACGCCGCGUGAGUGAUGAAGGCCUUCGGUUGUAAACUCUGUUGUCAGGGACGAAAGCACCGAUCUAUAAUACAUUUGGUGUUGGCGGUACCUGACGAGGAAGCCACGGCUAACUACGUGCCAGCAGCCGCGGUAAUACGUAGGUGGCAAGCGUUGUCCGGAAUUAUUGGGCGUAAAGAGCAUGUAGGCGGGCUUUUAAGUCCGACGUGAAAAUGCGGGGCUUAACCCCGUAUGGCGUUGGAUACUGGAAGUCUUGAGUGCAGGAGAGGAAAGGGGAAUUCCCAGUGUA